RNAcentral lists this long non-coding RNA (1500 nucleotides) under Homo sapiens (human). RNAcentral's name for it is "non-protein coding lnc-TMEM238L-1:1". Lineage: Eukaryota; Metazoa; Chordata; Mammalia; Primates; Hominidae. The record is from RNAcentral.
AUCUCUAUUCUGACUGAUGCUUCCUUGGAUCCCGGCUGUGGCCUUCCCUUUGGUCACUCUAACCCCCUGCCCCUGCAUCCAGGCAUCAUUCAUCCAACUCUCUCUGCCAAGUGCAAUGCAUGCUGGGAAAUUCUUCGAAGGUGGGCUAUGCCCAAGGGAGAACCUCAUGUUUACAUAUCUGAGUGCCAGAGCUGGAUUCUUCAUUUGCAUACUUCUGGAACCAAAACUGACCCACGGAGGUCCUUUACAGAGGAGGGAGGGAUGGCUGAGCUCUGACCCAUUGGGUUUGACAGCCCUAGCUCCCUUAGCAGACUUUCAAGAUCACAAGUAUCAAACAUUCCAAAGACUGAACAAUGAAGGGAGGCCUGGGAAAAAUACUCUCCAAGAUGGCACGUGCCCCUGGACAUGACAACAUGACUCUAGGGGUUAGUCAGCUGAAGAAGUUUAGUUCCUAAUUAUAUAAUAUUUACAUCAGAGGCAGUGGGGUAGGCUAGGGGAUGUCACUGUUUCCGCUUGACCUUAUCUUUCUCAUUGACCACUGUCUUCUCUGAACUUGAUCAUUAGCCAAGGACAAAAUGCAUGUUGCCCUAAUUUCUUUCCUACCCCUGCCUCUAUCUCUGCAUCUAGAACAGCUAAAUGGAAAGAUACAGAGGGAUCCUGUAAGGUUGUUUUCCCUUUCACGUCCAUCAAGAUCAAAAUUGAGAGAAUCAAGUUCCAUAUCUGAAUGAUCUGUAGGUUUCUAGAGAUGGAAUUCACGUCAGAAAAUUCCAACUUCUGUUAUCCCUGCCCCCACCCACCAAAAAAGCCAACAUUUAUUAAGUGUCGCAUUCUGGGAUAAGCCCUGGCUGGGGGCAAGACACGGUCCCUGAUGUCUUCUUGCUUCCCGAGGUGAGAGAGGCAGCCAAGCCAACUGGCGAAAUGUGGGUGGGUGUGGGAACACAGGCGGUGUCUACCCUAGACUUGAUAGAGGACGGAGAAAUUCCUGGAGGCCAUGUCCUCCAACCCAAAAACAAAAGGAAAGAUAAGAGUUACCAAAGAGGGGAAAGAAUGGCAUUGGAAGCAGCAGGAGCUGCUAUGCGUGUGCAGGAGUAGCUUGGGGAAGGAGAAGCAUGAUGGAAUUAGGAAACUGCACGGCCAUUUGUCUGACCUCCCAGAUGUUUUUACUUCAUCCCUCUCUUUCCCGGCUUCCCACCUCUUCACCAAGUGCCUAGCGCAGCUUCUCCUGGAGGCACAUUGAGGGCCUCCUGGUGUCUAUGGUAGAGACGGGAAGUGGGUUUCCAGAGGGCCUGGCAAGCAAAGAGUCCCUGAGAAGUGCUUCUGUAACUCCCUGUGGCAACCAAGAGGCCCGUAGGUGAAAGAACAGAAGCAGUACCUGUGAGGGAGCCAGCCACGCUGCCCUAGGCCAAAGACCCCUGGAGAGCAUUUGGUAAUGAGGUGUGAGAGGAGAGCAUCCUGCACCAGAAUCACCCUUGUCUUGAGCUAAUUCUCUUCACUCCUCAG